Molecule: non-coding RNA, 135 nt
Organism: Triticum aestivum (bread wheat)
Lineage: Eukaryota; Viridiplantae; Streptophyta; Magnoliopsida; Poales; Poaceae
Source: Rfam
GUAUUGCUACCUCCGUUCCAAAUUUUUUGUCUUAGAUUUGUCUAAAUACAGAUAUAUCAAAUCAUGUUUUAGUAUUAGAUAUAUCCAUAUCUAGACAAAUCUAAGACAAGAAUUUUGGGACAGAGGGAGUAAAAG